AGAGAAGGAGAUACACUAAGAUAUAUACCUUGAAGAAGAAGAUGGAGACAGAGAAGCGAAGAUGGGUCUUACUAAUCGAAAUCCUAAAACCCAAUUGAACCAAUCGAAACCCUAAAACUCAAUUGAACCAAUUGAAACUCUAAAAUUCAAUCGAAACAAUUGAGCUGCUCCAAGCUACUUUGUAAAUCCAAUGGGUCUUCUUCGAGCUAGGUCUUCAAUUUGGGUCUCCUUUGUAAAUCGAACGGAUUUGAGAUAGUGAGCUACUGAGUUUGAGAUUGAUAUAAUGAGAUGGUGAGAGAGAGGGAGAUAGUGAAAUAGAGAGAGAGAGAGAGAUGGAAGAGAGUCUGAAAGAGAAGGUGAGAGGAAAAGAGAGACAGGAGAGAGAUGUCGAUAGAGAGAAAGAGGGAAAAGAGGGGAGGAAAUUAUUUGUGUAAAAGGGGGAAAUAAAGUUUUGGUUGG
RNAcentral lists this long non-coding RNA (459 nucleotides) under Daucus carota (carrot). RNAcentral's name for it is "long non-coding RNA (DCAR_LNC003334)". The record is from RNAcentral. Lineage: Eukaryota; Viridiplantae; Streptophyta; Magnoliopsida; Apiales; Apiaceae.